CUUAAUUACUUUGACUUGUUAUGGGAGUGCCCAUAAAAUUAGAAGUUUCUUACUUUCGUUUCAAGCAGCGUUUCAUUAAUAAAUAACUGGGGGAUGACUCAGCUGCUCUUUACUUGGAAGCUAAACUUUAAAAUGCCACAGUGACAACAGGAGGGGGGAGUUUUCCAAGCCGAAUUCAAGCUCACAAUCUCCUGAUGCGUCAUGUUGAGGACAGGAGUCUACAGGAAAUACUCACCCCUACUGUGGAAGCCAUGAAGUCUGCACACAUCUCUGCAAAAUCCCUGCCGAGGACGCCGUAAUAGAGACCGUAAAAGAGCAUGGAAACACCAAAAUCCAUGGAAUCUUCCGGCUUUAUUCUGAGCAAGAAACACGAAGAAGGGCCAUGUUUCAAUUCAGGAAGAAAGUGACCGCACCCUAUUUAAGGAGAGCGAGAGCAGAGGGAGCGAGAGCAGAGGGAGCGAGAGCAGAGGAGAGGAGAGGGAGCUCUCUCCCCAACCAGACGACUUGUGUGUGUGCGUGUGUGCGUGUGUGGCUGGGAGAGCCAAAGUUGUGCACUGAAAAGUGAAAAU
Neoarius graeffei (lesser salmon catfish) is the source of this 569-nucleotide long non-coding RNA. RefSeq lists it as uncharacterized. Lineage: Eukaryota; Metazoa; Chordata; Actinopteri; Siluriformes; Ariidae. The transcript has 3 exons. The record is from RefSeq and is a predicted model, not a curated record.